Molecule: non-coding RNA, 25 nt
Filed under: Cricetulus griseus (Chinese hamster)
Lineage: Eukaryota; Metazoa; Chordata; Mammalia; Rodentia; Cricetidae
Source: RNAcentral
AAAUAUCAUUCUGAGGAGCUACAGU